AAUUUCUGUUUAAUCUUAAUAGCCUUGGUUAUUCAUUACUGAGCGCAAAGGGAGUAGGAAGAAUUGGAUUGUAUUACUUGAGGCUAACCACAGACAUCUGAAGCCAAACAUUUAUGACUCCCAAUCAGUAAUCUCCAUUCUACCCCAUUUGCUUCUUCUCUUCUCCAUAAAGUUUAUGAUAAUGGAACUCUUCUGAGGCAUUCUGGGUACUGAGAGGUGAAAGGGAACCUGAUGAGAACAUGGAAGAGGCCCCAGCAGGCAAGAACCCAGGUUAAGACCCCUUCCCCCUCAUGAUUCUCCCCAGGCCACGGAUGUUUCUUUAUAGAACCACAGACUCUGUUCUGGAAAUCUCCUCAUCAUUCAUCUCACUGGUACCUGAGCUUAAAUUCCCAAGUUCUCAACAUUUCCAGUCCCCUUGGGAACUAGCAAGAAGGAGAUGUCUCAGAAAAACAAAAACCUUUACUCAAGCUGCAGAAAGGCCUAUAACCUGUCCUCAUGAAUGUGCAGAAGCCUCUGGAAAGCUCUGCCCAAGACUGUGUGGAAGUGAUCUUAACCUGGGCCAAGCCAAGCCUUCUUCCUGACAGCCAAGUAUGUAAUUUUAACAUUCUAUCAACCACAUUUAAAAUAUCAAAAAAAUAAAAAAUCAAAAGAAACUAGUGACA
RNAcentral lists this long non-coding RNA (662 nucleotides) under Vulpes vulpes (red fox). Its description in RNAcentral is "lncRNA (ENSVVUG00000011691.1)". The record is from RNAcentral. Lineage: Eukaryota; Metazoa; Chordata; Mammalia; Carnivora; Canidae.